This 426-nucleotide RNase P RNA is filed under the name Desulfobacterales bacterium. RNAcentral's name for it is "RNase P RNA component class A". It matches the Rfam family "Bacterial RNase P class A". From Rfam's summary of the family: Ribonuclease P (RNase P) is a ubiquitous endoribonuclease, found in archaea, bacteria and eukarya as well as chloroplasts and mitochondria. Lineage: Bacteria; Pseudomonadati; Thermodesulfobacteriota; Desulfobacteria; Desulfobacterales. The record is from RNAcentral.
AGAGCAGAUCAGACGAUCGCCGGUUCAUUUUGAUCCGGAGGAAAGUCCGAACACCGCAGGGCAGGGUGCUCCGUAACGCGGAGUCGUGGCAACGCGAAGGAAAGUGCAACAGAAAAUAUACCGCCUCAUUGGGAAGAAUGAAGGAUGAAGGAUGAAGGAUGAAUUCAUGCUUCUGAAUUCAGCGUUCCGGAGGUAAGGGUGAAAUGGUGUCGGUAAGAGCGCACCAGUUCCCCGGGCGACUGGGGAAGCUUUGUAAACCCCACUCGGUGCAAGACCAAAUAGAGGAACGUCCGAGGGUUGCCCGCCCGAGUUCCCGGGUAGGUUGCAAGAGAUGCCGGGCAACUGGCAUCCACAGAUGAAUGAUCGUCACCUGAUCCUGAGUAAUCCGGAUCAGGAACAGAAUUCGGCUUAUGAACUGCUCUGGCC